UUCCGGUUGAUCCUGCCGGACCCGACUGCUAUCGGGCUGGGAUUAAGACAUGCAAGUCGCGCGCAGUCGCCAUGCCCGACUGCGCGGCGGACGGCUCCGUAACACGUCCUCAACCGAACCUCGGGACCCGGAUAACCUCGGGAAACUGAGGUUAAUCCGGGAUAGGAGAGGAUGCCUGGAAGGGCCCUCUCCGAAAGGGUUACCCGGGGCUAUGGCCGGGUAACCGCCCGAGGACGGGAGGGCGGCCCAUCAGGUAGUAGGUGGGGUAACGGCCCACCUAGCCUGUGACGGGUACGGGCGCUGGGAGGCGGAGCCCGGAGAGGGGCACUGAGACAAGGGCCUCAGCCCUACGGGGUGCAGCAGUCGCGAAACCUCCGCAAUGCGCGAAAGCGUGACGGGGUCAGCCCGAGUGCCACCCGUGAGGGUGGCUGUGGCCGGCCGUAAAAAAGCCGGCUUAGAAAGCGGAGGGCAAGGCUGGUGCCAGCCGCCGCGGUAAAACCAGCUCCGCGAGUGGUCGGGACUAUUACUGGGCUUAAAGCGUCCGUAGGCGGUCCCGUGUGUCCGCGGCCAAAUCCCAGGGCUUAACCCUGGGAACGCUGCGGAUACUACGGGACUAGGGACCGGGCGAGGGCGGGGGUACUCACCGGGUGGGGGCGAAAUCCUGAGAUCCGGUGAGGACCGGCGGUGGCGAAGGCGCCCGCCUAGAACGGCUCCGACGCUGAGGGACGAAAGCCGGGGGAGCGAAGGGGAUUAGAUACCCCCGUAGUCCCGGCUGUAAACGAUGCCCGCUAGGUGUUGGACUGGCUUGAGCCAGUCCAGUGCCUGAAGGGAAACCGUUAAGCGGGCCGCCUGGGGAGUACGGCCGCAAGGCUGAAACUUAAAGGAAUUGGCGGGGGCCCACUACAAGGGGAGGAGCCUGCGGCUUAAUUGGAUUCAACGCCGGGAAACUUACCGGGGGGGACGGCGGAAUGAGGGCCAGGCUAAUGACCUUGCCCGACCAGCCGAGAGGUGGUGCACGGCCGUCGCCAGCUCGUACCGUGAGGCGUCCGGUUUAGUCCGGCAACGAGCGAGACCCA
This 1076-nucleotide ribosomal RNA is filed under the name uncultured euryarchaeote. RNAcentral's name for it is "partial 16S ribosomal RNA". It matches the Rfam family "Archaeal small subunit ribosomal RNA", at positions 1 to 1054 of the family's 1478-position model. The record is from RNAcentral. Lineage: Archaea; Methanobacteriati; Methanobacteriota.